This 75-nucleotide transfer RNA is filed under the name Parcubacteria group bacterium ADurb.Bin216. RNAcentral's name for it is "tRNA-Ala". The record is from RNAcentral.
GGGGGUGUCGUAUACGGAAUAUUACCCUACGCUUGCACCGUAGUGAACGGAGUUUGACUCUCCGCAUCUCCACCA